CUGCCCUGCAGACACAACUGCCACUCAGCCAUCCCCCGCGCCACCUUCACUGAGCACCUCCCGUGUCCGAAGCACCCGGGGGCGAUGACUGUGAGAAAACAGAAGUGCCUCCGUCCUCAAGAGCUCAGUCCAGCACAGCAAGCGGGGUAUCCUCAGCACACAAAUAACCACACGUGAGAGGCUGCGAUUACUCCAUCCUGUUGCCUGUCUCACCUUCCUCUGGAAGAUCCCGGAGGCAUCGCUAGCGCCAGGGCAGGCUGCACCUGGGAGGGGCCCACAAGCACCGGGCCAGCUCCUCCCUGGGGGUGAGGCUGAGGGGCAGAUCGUUGGCCUUUUUGGAUGUUUCUUUCUUCACGAACUUCACAUUUCUAUAUGGCUCAAAAAACACCCAAUGCUUAGGAGCCUGGGAAGGACACAUUCAAGGACAUCAUGGAGCAGAAGCUGCACAGGCCAACCAGCCACAGGGCAGAAGCCGCCCAAUGGCCACAGGUGCUUCCGAGGCAGCGCGUCAGACACGGCAGCUGGGGAGAGCUGGGCCUCCUCUCGCCCCUGGCCUCCGUGAGGCUGCACCUCCUGGGCACUGGCAGAGCAUGAGCAAGGGCUUCAGAGGGGGGAGUGAGCCCCCAGCCAGGCAGGAGGCUCACGUCAGGAGGACGUAACUGAGCUGCAGAUGGUCCUCCCUUGGGAGCUCCCCCUAAAGGAGCAGCACUGUGACCGGGCACAUAACUCAGGAGCCAGACAGAACUCCCUGGAUUCCCUUGAGCUGAUUUACUGAGCAGUUUCAGAGACCUGAGCCCAAGCAGACUGCCUCCCAGGUUACAAAGGAGUCAGGACAGAGAACGAACUGUGAACUGCAGAUGAUAGCUGAGAAUUCGCAGACACCAAAGCCCAGAAGAGGCCCAAAGAAAAGGAGGGACAAAUAUUCAUUCUAACUUUAAAUAAGAUGGAAUCUGAGGCUAAGAACUUACCUCAGUCUCAAAACUUCUAGACCAAUCAUCAAGCGGGUUGCAAAACAGCAGCAAGGACGGUGAGUGGGUGUGGACUCGAGAGGCCGUGUGUCCACUCCACUUCCUUUCCACGCAACUGUGAACCUGGGUUCCGCGAAGAUGCAGAGAGAGGCCGCGUGCCUGUCCACUUCCUUCCCCACGUGACUGUGACCCUGAGUUCCAUGAAGAUGCAGACGGAAGAUGAACAAAUUCCAGCCAUUUGUUGAAUGAGGAUUGGCUAAGACUCUACUGACACAGCAGGCGCUGUAGCAGGCACCUGGAAUUCAGCGGCCAACAGUUUCAAAUCAAUGAUUAAAAAGCAAAGAAAGGCUGGCGGUUGCUCGGGUGGCUGGAGAGGCCCACGCGAGACGUGCAGCCCUGCCGUUGGGGAGGGGGCUGUGUCUGCAGCGUCACAGCCGGUCUGGUGGGUCCCUCCCAGACACCUUCCAGGUCUAAGACAAGUAAGCGGAGGUGAUCUUGUGCCCCAGUGAGAAGACCUAACUGUGCCCAUCCGUUCACCUCACAGACCCAUCGAUGGCCAACGGUGCUGGGAACAUUCUAGGAGGGUGAUGGGACAGAGGGAUGGGUGUUUGUGACACAUUCUGGGAUUUUCCUGUCCUCACCCCAGAACUCUCCUGUCUUUGUGCUAUGGUUUGAAUGUGUGUGUCCCUCCAACAUUCAAAGCCUGGAACUUAAGCACAAGGGUGAUGCUGUUAAGGGGCAGGGCCCUUUGAGACGCAGAGCCCUAGUGAAUGGAUCGGUGCUGUCAGCAGAGAGGCUGAAGGCCCCAGGGCCUUUCUGUCCUCCGCUACUGUGCGAGGGCACAGCCAUGAGGUACUGCGGAAAGCAGAGGGCAGCUGACCAGACACGAAACACGGGGCGCCUUGAUGCUGAAUUCCACCUGCAGGAAACAGGAGGUGCAGAUUUCUGUUGCUGAUAAACUACCCAGCCCAGGGCAUUUUGUUAACAGCAGCAUGAUUCCUAGUCUACCUGAGCUACAAAAUUCAAGAGAGUUUAUUUACUUGUAUGAUUUCUACACAAGGACAACUUUUAGUACUAAUGGAAAACGUGUCUGACUUGCUCUGCAAAUAUAACAUUCCAAUAAUCCCAAAAGAAGGUGCUCAAGAAUUUUAAGAAAACACUAUUGGCAGAGGUCAUUUCGGUGGAGUAAUUCCUUUUAAUUUAGACAUGUGUUCACA
RNAcentral lists this long non-coding RNA (2185 nucleotides) under Homo sapiens (human). RNAcentral's name for it is "HSALNT0131735". Lineage: Eukaryota; Metazoa; Chordata; Mammalia; Primates; Hominidae. The record is from RNAcentral.